UUCUAGAUUUGGCCCCAGUCCUGGUUUCUAUACUCCUGUCUUAGGGGCUGACUCUCCCUCUUGUGACCUGUCUGCCAAUCAGGGGAAGCAGUCACUGGACAUCCUUCAGAUCUCCAAAAAGGGCCCCACCUACCUAAGACCCAGGAAUUCACUGAGGACAUACCCUUAAACACCCUGUGCCUACAGCCUUUUGCUCCUUGUUAUCUUAACCCCUUUUAUGUUAGCUUUUAACUACCUGAACCAUAACUAUUUCUUUCCUUACAUUUUGGGUCUUUUAUGUUUUAGGUCAUGCAUACCAAGCCAGCUGGACAGAUAAUUCUCUGGUUCAGCUUGGGGAAGCAGUAGCCAAAGCAAGUCCUUCUGACUGUUGGUAUAUUAUCUUUCCUCUACUUGCAAUAACGGUAAAGAGGAGAAGUCAGAAGAAAGAAGAGUAAUGGAUGAGGAAAUAAUAGGUGUGAAUUCUAGUGUGAAACAGAUACAAUUGGAAAAUCGAAAUAAUGUUGAUGGAAUUUAAUCAGAUGAGGAGACAGGGGAAAACAGAAUAAAAGACUUGCCCAGGAUCACAUGGCUGAAGCUCAAUUUGAACUCACAUCUCCCUGACUCCAGACCAGUGAUAUCCUAAAAAAAUUCCAGCAUAUACAACAACCACAAGAGAGGACCCACAAAAAAGGAGGAAUCAUGAAGCAAUGCAGAGAUGAAUCCAGGAAGACAUCAACACACAUGCAUAUGCACUUAUACAUAUAUAUGCAUGUGAGUAUGUACAAAUUACAUGUUUAUAUGUGUAUGUACACAUAUAUUCUCAAAAUUUCACAUUAGUACUGGGAAAAUUGACUGAGUUUUAAGGAGGAGAAAAUUUAUCAAUGUGUAUAUCAACAAUAAAAAUAUAUCAAUCAAUUUAGAAAAGUCCCCUGGCCAAAUAGACUGGUAUUGGUAUAAUAGAUAUAGGUAGGGCUAUAAUAGAGUCUUUCUUGCUACAAAACCCUUUUAUUUAAAACGAGGUUUUCUAAAAGUCUACCAUCUCAAUGUGGUAUUUUAUAAAUAUUUAAAUUAAAAUAUUUUUAAAAAUAAAGCAAAGAUCUAUUUCUCCUGCAAAGAUAAACUCAUGAUGUAAUCUAGAAAAAAAGAUAUUUUCUCCUUGUAAUAAUACUAGCAAAAGAGCUAGCCACAUUUCCUAUUAGUGAAAAAAAAGCACUUAAACUGCUUUAGUAUCCUACAAGUAUUGUAAAUGGCAGCUGCUAUUAGAACUUAUUUCAAUAAUGUAAUAGAUAUCCUUAUAAAACCUAAAUAUCUUAACAGAGGAUAAAUUAAAUUUGGCCAUCACAUGGCUUCCACAUGUAAAUCCAGCUUUUUUUUGAAAAAAAAUGUUUUGAUUUUUCCUUAAUGAUCUUGUCUAUUUUGCACAACAGAGUCCAGUAAAUUGUCUUCAUCUCUUCUGACAAUUUUAAGUUCUACUGCAAAGAAGGAAAUUUUUUAGUUUACUUCACUAAUUGCUAGAGAAAAGAAAAAACAAACACAUACACAUCUGCAUGCAAAUUAAACUGCACUUUAGUUUAAGCAACAAUUCAUAUGUACAAACCAUUACAAUGCUUCUUUACAGAGCAUGGAGGGGAGAAGUUAAAAAAUAUUUGGGAUAGCUAGGAUAUGAAAGAAUGGAAAUAUCUGGUGGUUGGGAUAGCGUUAGCUUUUUUUUUAAUAUGAAUUUAAUUUUUUUAAAUUUAUUUAGUCAAUUUAGAACAUUAUUCCUUGGUUACAAGAAUCAUAUUCUUUACCUCCCUCCCCUCUCCCCAGCCCUCCCAUAGACAACAUGCAAUUCCACUGGGUUUUACAUGUGUCCUUGAUCAGAACCUAUUUCCAUGUUGAUGUUUGCACUAGGAUGAUCAUUUGGAGCAGGGGUUCCCAAACUUUUUACACAGGGGGCCAGUUCAUUGUCCCUCAGACUGUUGGAGGGCCAGACUAUUAAAAACAAAACAAAACUAUGAACAAAUCUGUAUACCACUGUCUGGGAUAGUGGAGAUUGUAGUGCUGACUGUGAUGUGCCUCUCACACCUUACACAGGCCCAUCACUGUCACCACUAUACUGGGCAGCAGUAUAAAAAGAGUGGAAUCCCCUCUCCCAGAUUGCCGCUCACCAUGCUGACGUUUUCUAUUGUGCAGUCACAUAGUCUUUUGUGCUGCACCUUGUUCUCAUUCAGUUACUCUCAGAACAAGGUGUCACUCAAAAGAUUAUGUCACCAGAACUAGUAUUGUAUGUGAGCAACACUGCACUUUGCAGCACCACCACAUAUAGUGCUCCUCUCACUAACCACCAAUGAAAGAGGUGCCCCUUCUGGAAGUGUGGUGGGAGCUAGAUAAGUGGCCUUGGGAGGGCCACAUGUGGCCCAUGGGCCAUAGUUUGGGAACCCUUGAUUUAGAGUCUACAUCCCCAGCCAUAUCCCCUCAACCCAUGUAAUCAAGCAGUUGUUUUUCUUCAGUGUUUCUACUCCCACAGUUUUUCCUCUGAAUGUGGAUAGUGUUCUUUUUCAUAGAUCCCUCCAAGUUGUUCAGGAUCAUUGCAUUGCCACUAAUGGAGAAGUCCAUUACAUUAAA
Long non-coding RNA from Monodelphis domestica (gray short-tailed opossum), 2586 nucleotides. RefSeq lists it as uncharacterized. NCBI's taxonomy places the organism in Eukaryota, Metazoa, Chordata, Mammalia, Didelphimorphia, Didelphidae. The record is from RefSeq and is a predicted model, not a curated record.